Long non-coding RNA from Brachypodium distachyon (stiff brome), 1017 nucleotides. RefSeq lists it as uncharacterized. The record is from RefSeq and is a predicted model, not a curated record. Lineage: Eukaryota; Viridiplantae; Streptophyta; Magnoliopsida; Poales; Poaceae. The transcript has 3 exons.
UGGGUACCUGUUGCCGGUAAUCCUGAGUUACAAAAUCGCCAGAAAUUGCAACUCAUGCGGCAAAAUUUGAAAGUAUAUUGGUUGGCAGAAAUGAUUCUGGAUUGACCAAAAGUAUUGCAUUCGGUUUUGCAUUAGAAAAAGGUGCCAUGCUAAUUUUUUUUGACUGGGCCAUGCUAGCUUGUCAGCAGUGAAUUCCAGGAAUUGAAAUGCAACAGAAAUUUAUUGUGAUAAUCUUCUUUGGAGACAAGCUGUGGUGGUAAAUGGCAAGUCGUCAGUUCGAUCGUAUUCACUGGAGCUACGUCUAUUUGGACUUUUGAUAGUGGGACUGCAAUAGGCUCGUAGGGUUCUCACCCCGGUACCCCACCCUCGCUGUUGCCGUCACCUUGGCGCCGGCCACCAUGGCACCGAUGGCCACCUCCCAUCACAGGGAGCUAUGUCUAUUUCGGUUCAGAGAAAAAGACGGAGGACACGGCGGGGUACGUGCCUAUGUCGUCGAGCUGGGCAUGGAUGGGAGCGACGAGCUCGGGCGACAGGAAGCAUGAUAGGAGGAGGAGAAGCACUGGCAACAACAGACCAGGGCGGCCUGAUGCUAUUGCUGGUGCCAUGUACGUUCCUCUCGCUGCGACACCCAUCUUUUAAGCUGGUCUUGAGCCUUAAUCCAAGUCAAGUUAAGCGGAACUCCAAAAGAAAGAGAGGUCAAAUUAAGCGCGGUUGGCUCAUGUCACUGCUCGCCGGCCGGCAAGUACGAGGUUGCCAUUUGUUGGGAUGAUGCGCCCAGAAACUGCAGGGUAAUUUCCACCAAUUAAGUAAAGUGAGAGGAGUGGUUUAAGAAUUAGUAGGAGACGUACGAGCAGCUUGUUGCCGGCCUGUAGCGUAAUUAAGCACGACAACGAAGUACAGUACGACGUACAAAGGGAAGUCAAGUCUUGUGAAUGUACUUUAUGUACUGCUGCAAGUAUGUGACAUGGUCUGGGUCUCGGCUGUUUUUGAACAGUCGUCCCAGAAGACCGUUCAGAA